Molecule: long non-coding RNA, 482 nt
Filed under: Ananas comosus (pineapple)
Lineage: Eukaryota; Viridiplantae; Streptophyta; Magnoliopsida; Poales; Bromeliaceae
Description: long non-coding RNA (ACOM_LNC043584)
Source: RNAcentral
UGGAAUAAAAAUAAAAAUAAAUAAAAGUAGUGUGAGAAACUAUUUUUAUUGGAUUUAGAAAAAUAAAACAUAAGUCAGAAGUGACUUAUGCUGAAAUCGGAAUGAAAACAGAAGAUUUAAAAUUUUCUGUUAGAAACGGGACAGAUAAAUUAGCAGAAAAUGCACAGUGUCAGAAAAUUAUGAAAACUGGAGGAUAAGCCAGAAUCAUUUUUAUGAAGCUAGAUUUAAAGUUCUAUAUCAUUCUGACAACCGGAAGGUGGAAAAUAAAAUCCGACAGGUAUCUGAUAAAGAUUGCAGUUCGGUAUAGCUUUCGGUGACCUAACGGGGUCGAAUUGAAAUAUUAAAAUUUUUUUGGAAUCGUUAAGUAAAAUCGAAUAUGACUGUCAAAUUUGGGCUCAAACGGAUAUUCAGUGAGCUCCGGCGAAAGAUAUCCGAUUUCGAACUGUCCGGAGAUAAAUAGUAUUGUGAGGGUGUUAAUUAAA